This 465-nucleotide ribosomal RNA is filed under the name Vreelandella stevensii. RNAcentral describes it as "partial 16S ribosomal RNA". It matches the Rfam family "Bacterial small subunit ribosomal RNA", at positions 338 to 795 of the family's 1533-position model. Lineage: Bacteria; Pseudomonadati; Pseudomonadota; Gammaproteobacteria; Oceanospirillales; Halomonadaceae. The record is from RNAcentral.
CCUACGGGAGGCUGCAGUGGGGAAUAUUGGACAAUGGGGGCAACCCUGAUCCAGCCAUGCCGCGUGUGUGAAGAAGGCCCUCGGGUUGUAAAGCACUUUCAGUGAGGAAGAACGCCUGGUGGUUAAUACCCAUCAGGAAAGACAUCACUCACAGAAGAAGCACCGGCUAACUCCGUGCCAGCAGCCGCGGUAAUACGGAGGGUGCGAGCGUUAAUCGGAAUUACUGGGCGUAAAGCGCGCGUAGGUGGCUUGAUAAGCCGGUUGUGAAAGCCCCGGGCUCAACCUGGGAAUAGCAUCCGGAACUGUCAAGCUAGAGUGCAGGAGAGGAAGGUAGAAUUCCCGGUGUAGCGGUGAAAUGCGUAGAGAUCGGGAGGAAUACCAGUGGCGAAGGCGGCCUUCUGGACUGACACUGACACUGAGGUGCGAAAGCGUGGGUAGCAAACAGGAUUAGAUACCCUAGUAGUC